RNAcentral lists this ribosomal RNA (235 nucleotides) under uncultured bacterium. Its description in RNAcentral is "partial 16S ribosomal RNA". It matches the Rfam family "Bacterial small subunit ribosomal RNA", at positions 335 to 562 of the family's 1533-position model. The record is from RNAcentral.
GACCCUACGGGGCGCAGCAGUAGGGAAUCUUCCACAAUGGACGAAAGUCUGAUGGAGCAACGCCGCGUGAGUGAAGAAGGGUUGCGGCUCGUAAAGCUCUGUUGGUAGUGAAGAAAGAUAGAGGUAGUAACUGGCCUUUAUUUGACGGUAAUUACUUAGAAAGUCACGGCUAACUACGUGCCAGCAGCCUCGGGAAUACGUAGGUGGCAAGCGUUGUCCGGGUUUAUUGGGCGUA